AUACUUUCCUGGCAGGGGAGAUACCAUGAUCAUGAAGGUGGUUUCCCCAGAGCAAGGCUCACCCACUGCACUCCGGGUGUGCUGACCCCUGCGAUUUCCUCAAAUGUGAGAAACUCAACUGUAUAAUUUGUGGUAGUGUGGGACUGUAUUCAAGCUCUCCCCUU
Small nuclear RNA from Suncus etruscus (white-toothed pygmy shrew), 164 nucleotides. RefSeq annotates it as U1 spliceosomal RNA. NCBI's taxonomy places the organism in Eukaryota, Metazoa, Chordata, Mammalia, Eulipotyphla, Soricidae. The transcript has a single exon. The record is from RefSeq and is a predicted model, not a curated record.